Molecule: non-coding RNA, 1177 nt
Organism: Arachis ipaensis
Lineage: Eukaryota; Viridiplantae; Streptophyta; Magnoliopsida; Fabales; Fabaceae
Source: RefSeq, a predicted model, not a curated record
GUACUGCUGUACUACUCUCUGCCCCACUAAAACCUAACCCUUACACACACAUCACACUCCAGCGCUGCACUCUUUAGGUUUCUCACACUCCUCAAGCUUCCACCAGAGGCUCACCAUUUGUUGUUGGCGGUGGAUUCCAUCACAGUCGCGCCCCCAUCCAGCCCACAAUCCCCUUGUGCAUUUUGUUCUGCGUCGCUCCUUUCCCAGCGCUGUCGUGGUCUCCAUCCAGCAUCUUCGUCAUCUCUUCGGUUUCGGUCCUUUCAUUUCCGUCAUCUCACCAUCCAGCAUCUCUCCGUCUCUCUUUGAUUUCUUCUGUCAUAAGCUCUUUCAGUAGCUGUUGCUGCUACCGGUUGCAUUGCUGGCGGUCCUGCUUGAUGUUCUUGUUGCUGUCGUGCAAGUUAUCUUUUUUCUAUUGCGUGUUUUAAGAGAUGGCCACAGGAGUGAACAAGAUGCUGUAAUUUUAGUACCAUGAGACAUAAUCAACAUUAAAUUAGGAGAUAUCAUUCCGGCCAAUGCUUGUCUUCUCGAGGACAAUUCUCUAAGUGUUGAUCAGUCUGCUCUAACAGGAGAAUCUCUUCUAGUGACUAAGAACUCCACUGAUGAAGUAUUUUCUGGAUCAAUAAUCAAGAAGGGUGAGAUAGAAGCAGUUGUGAUAGUCACUGGUGUGCACACCUUCUUUGGUAAAGCGGCUCACUUGGUGGACAGCGCUAACCAAGUUGGACACUUCUAGAAAGUGGUUACAACAAUUGGUAACUUUGCUCAAUUGCUCGAAACGUAUGACGACUAUUGAGAAAAUAGCUAGGAUGGAUGUCCUCUGCAGUAAUAAAAGUGUAACCUUGACAUUGAAUAAGCUCAAUAUUGAUAGAAACUUGAUUGAGGUAUUUGCUAAAGAUGUUGAGAAGGAGUAUGUUAUCCUUCUUGCUGCAAGGACCUCUAGGACUAAAAAUCAGGAUGCUAUAGAUGCUGCUAUAUAUGAUUAAGUCAAACAAAUAAAGCUUCUAAAAGCAAAAUUCCAAAAAAAAAUUUCCACUCAUUAACAAAUAUAUAGAAAUAGAAUAGUAAUAAGAAGAGGAAACAAUAAUGCAAUCGUUUUCAUAAAAAAAAAAAGAAUCAAGCAUAUAUCUCGCUCAAAGGCAUAUGAAUGGAACUUUACAAGUAGGGCAUAGAGAAUAUCGAA